UUGGAGGGCAAGUCUGGUGCCAGCAGCCGCGGUAAUUCCAGCUCCAAUAGCGUAUAUUAAAGUUGUUGCAGUUAAAAAGCUCGUAGUUGAAUUUCGGGAUUAGUACGGUGGUCGUGCCUUCGGUACGUACUGGUGUUACUGAUUCCUACCUUCUGACGAACCAUCAUGUCAUUAAUUUGGUGUGGUGGGGAAUCAGGACUGUUACUUUGAAAAAAUUAGAGUGUUUAAAGCAGGCUCGCGCUUGAAUACAUUGGCAUGGAAUAAUGAAAUAGGACGUUGACCCUAUUUUGUUGGUUUCUAGGAUUGACGUAAUGAUUAAUAGGGAUAGUUGGGGGCAUUAGUAUUCAAUUGUCAGAGGUGAAAUUCUUGGAUUUAUUGAAGACUAACUACUGCGAAAGCAUUUGCCAAGGAUGUUUUCAUUAAUCAAGAACGAAAGUUAGGGGAUCGAAGACGGUCAGAUACCGUCGUAGUCUUAACCAUGAACUAUGCCGACUAGGGAUCGGAUGAUGUUAAUUUUUUAAUGACUCAUUCGGCGCCUUACGGGAAAC
This 548-nucleotide ribosomal RNA is filed under the name uncultured Glomus. RNAcentral's name for it is "SSU rRNA". It matches the Rfam family "Eukaryotic small subunit ribosomal RNA", at positions 548 to 1098 of the family's 1831-position model. The record is from RNAcentral. Lineage: Eukaryota; Fungi; Glomeromycota; Glomeromycetes; Glomerales; Glomeraceae.